Oncorhynchus keta (chum salmon) is the source of this 316-nucleotide long non-coding RNA. RefSeq lists it as uncharacterized. Lineage: Eukaryota; Metazoa; Chordata; Actinopteri; Salmoniformes; Salmonidae. The record is from RefSeq and is a predicted model, not a curated record. The transcript is spliced from 2 exons.
CUCGAUCUCAGUGGGCGAGGGCGGUCGCAAGAGGUCGGAGGCGAAACUGAGUGUGAGGGGGUUACGAGUGCUGGUCCUGCGAGUGCUGGUCCUGCGUCGCAUCAGGUCCGAGUCUGAGGUGGAGCUCAGAGUACCGGUCUUCAGUCCUCCUGGUUUUGACCUUAUGCCUGCCCUGACACUGAGCCCUCCUGCCUGACCAUUCAGCCUGCCUGCCUCCCUGUACCGUUUGGAACUCUGACCUGGUUCUGAACUUUUACCUGUCCUCGACCUGCCUCUUGCCUGCCCUUUGUUGUUUAAUAAAUAUCAGAGACUUGAA